CCUACGGGAGGCAGCAGUGGGGAAUAUUGGACAAUGGGCGAAAGCCUGAUCCAGCAAUGCCGCGUGAGUGAUGAAGGCCUUAGGGUUGUAAAGCUCUUUUACCCGGGAUGAUAAUGACAGUACCGGGAGAAUAAGCUCCGGCUAACUCCGUGCCAGCAGCCGCGGUAAUACGGAGGGAGCUAGCGUUAUUCGGAAUUACUGGGCGUAAAGCGCACGUAGGCGGCUUUGUAAGUAAGAGGUGAAAGCCUGGUGCUCAACACCAGAACUGCCUUUUAGACUGCAUCGCUUGAAUCCAGGAGAGGUGAGUGGAAUUCCGAGUGUAGAGGUGAAAUUCGUAGAUAUUCGGAAGAACACCAGUGGCGAAGGCGGCUCACUGGACUGGUAUUGACGCUGAGGUGCGAAAGCGUGUGGAGCAAACAGGAUUAGAUACCCUGGUAGUCCACGCCGUAAACGAUGAUAACUAGCUGUCGGGGCUCUUAGAGCUUCGGUGGCGCAGCUAACGCAUUAAGUUAUCCGCCUGGGGAGUACGGCCGCAGGUUAAACUUAAAGGAAUUGAGG
Molecule: ribosomal RNA, 558 nt
Filed under: uncultured bacterium
Lineage: Bacteria
Description: bacterial SSU rRNA
Rfam family: Bacterial small subunit ribosomal RNA
Source: RNAcentral